This 217-nucleotide long non-coding RNA is filed under the name Octodon degus (degu). RNAcentral describes it as "Prostate androgen-regulated transcript 1 conserved region 1 (ENSODEG00000021417.1)". It matches the Rfam family "Prostate androgen-regulated transcript 1 conserved region 1". The record is from RNAcentral. Lineage: Eukaryota; Metazoa; Chordata; Mammalia; Rodentia; Octodontidae.
GAACAGCCUCCUCGAAAAUGCAGCUGGACCGUGAUCCAUGGCAAAACGCUGGAAUACCUAUGCCAGCUUCUGGAAGCUGGAAAAUUCAUCCCGUUGAACUUGAUACAUAUACAACAGUAGCUUGAAAGCGAACCAUCUGCUCAUUCUGUCCUUUGUCCUUAUAAUCACUCCCUCCCAGGGCAUGUAAUUAAUUUACUGAGCUUUAAAAAGAAAAAGU